This 502-nucleotide ribosomal RNA is filed under the name Enterococcus faecium. RNAcentral's name for it is "bacterial SSU rRNA". It matches the Rfam family "Bacterial small subunit ribosomal RNA", at positions 15 to 493 of the family's 1533-position model. Lineage: Bacteria; Bacillati; Bacillota; Bacilli; Lactobacillales; Enterococcaceae. The record is from RNAcentral.
GAUCAUGGCUCAGGACGAACGCUGGCGGCGUGCCUAAUACAUGCAAGUCGUACGCUUCUUUUUCCACCGGAGCUUGCUCCACCGGAAAAAGAAGAGUGGCGAACGGGUGAGUAACACGUGGGUAACCUGCCCAUCAGAAGGGGAUAACACUUGGAAACAGGUGCUAAUACCGUAUAACAAUCGAAACCGCAUGGUUUUGAUUUGAAAGGCGCUUUCGGGUGUCGCUGAUGGAUGGACCCGCGGUGCAUUAGCUAGUUGGUGAGGUAACGGCUCACCAAGGCCACGAUGCAUAGCCGACCUGAGAGGGUGAUCGGCCACAUUGGGACUGAGACACGGCCCAAACUCCUACGGGAGGCAGCAGUAGGGAAUCUUCGGCAAUGGACGAAAGUCUGACCGAGCAACGCCGCGUGAGUGAAGAAGGUUUUCGGAUCGUAAAACUCUGUUGUUAGAGAAGGAACAAGGAUGAGAGGUAACUGUUCUCCCCUGACGGUUAACAAAGCCG